AUGGAGAGACUUGUUAAUGUUCAUUACAUUGACAAGGAGGCAUUCUUGAGUAACAAUGCCGACACGGGUGAGGAACCAUUGGUUUUUGAUACAAGCCCUAGCUAUGAGGAUGUUGUUGCAAAAGUGAGACAAGUUUUGAAGUGGAUGGACACCAAUGUUGAUGUUAAGUUAAUAGGAAGGUAUGAUGUUGGAGUUGGAGCCAAAUCUCGCUUGAAAAGUAUGCCUAUCACCUCGGAUUUGCAUUGGGAUGUAUACAAGGAAAAAGUAUCCCAAUCGGAAGACAAGUCACUUGAAUUGUUUGCCACCAAGGUUGAAUCUCCUCGGUUUACCUUUGAUUUGAACCGGCAUGUCUCUUCCCCAAUGGAUGACAUGAGCGAGAGGACAAUGGUGCCACUUGUUGAGCAUAGGGUUGUGGUUGAUGCCCCCAAUGUUUAUCCCCCACCACAUCCCCGUGUACCAUCUAUUAAAGCAAAUGAGGUUGAGUUGUAUGCCCCCAAUGCUUCUAGCCAACCACCAACUAGCCAAGCAAAUGAAGUUGAGGUGAUUGCCCGUGGGUUUGCCAUGAGGGGGUUCUUGAAAUCGGGCCGUCCAACCGGGAUCCGCUCCCACAUCCACACGGAUAGACUCCAAACAAACCCAGACAAUGAGGAUGUAUCUCCCUUCCCCCGACACGCCAAGUCAAGCUGCAAUCAAACAAACAUGUUAGAUAUGGAGGCGCAUGACAAAUGCCAGAAAAAUGGUUGCAAAUAUCUCUUACCUGGCGAUACAAAUAUGCUAGUGCGGCCAAACCCCAGCUAUACUGGGUAUCCCAGUUAUUGA
Molecule: ribosomal RNA, 819 nt
Filed under: Triticum aestivum (bread wheat)
Lineage: Eukaryota; Viridiplantae; Streptophyta; Magnoliopsida; Poales; Poaceae
Description: partial small subunit ribosomal RNA
Source: RNAcentral